Molecule: ribosomal RNA, 253 nt
Filed under: uncultured bacterium
Lineage: Bacteria
Description: partial 16S ribosomal RNA
Rfam family: Bacterial small subunit ribosomal RNA
Source: RNAcentral
UACGUAGGGACCAAGCGUUGUUCGGAUUUACUGGGCGUAAGGGGCGCGUAGGCGGCUUGUCAAGUCACUUGUGAAAUCUCUGGGCUUAACCCAGAACGGCCAAGUGAAACUGACAUGCUAGAGUGCAGAAGGGGCAAUCGGAAUUCUUGGUGUAGCGGUGAAAUGCGUAGAUAUCAAGAGGAACACCUGAGGUGAAGACGGGUUGCUGGGCUGACACUGACGCUGAGGCGCGAAAGCCAGGGGAGCAAACGGG